CUGAGAGCUACUACCAUGGGGUGGGACUGUCAGCCAGCUCUGGCAGAGUUCCACUGUGCCAUCAGCCAGAUUCUAGUCUUUAGCUCUAAUGUGGACAAAGAAUAGGAAACACUGAGAGAAACUCAAGUCAGUGUUUCGAGAAGGAAGCACAGAGAAUGAAGGACCGUGGUUGGCCUCAUACUGGGGCACUGGAAGUGAGUGGAAUUUGAUGAGAGAAAUCUGUGAAGAUUUUCAAGAAGAGAUGAAGAGAGCUGAAAAGAGAUGUUUUCAUCCCUCCCACCUCAUCAUGCCACCAACUGGGCUCCUUGCCUUCACUCACACCUUGACUCAGUCUCCCUCCUUUCUUUCUCUCAUUCCUAGCCUACUGGUGAAGCUGAAGACUUUCCCACCUGAAACUUCAGUGCUGCCCUCCUUAGUGCCUUUGACUUCCUCUGUGGCUACUACCCCAAUCAGCCACACCAGUCCUCAGUUCUGGAUCUUCCUCUACCCUUGUCUUCCAUCUUCCCUAAUAAUUGCCCCUGGCCCUCAGAAUACAGACGAAACAUGAAGUGGA
Homo sapiens (human) is the source of this 553-nucleotide long non-coding RNA. RefSeq lists it as uncharacterized. The record is from RefSeq and is a predicted model, not a curated record. NCBI's taxonomy places the organism in Eukaryota, Metazoa, Chordata, Mammalia, Primates, Hominidae. The transcript is spliced from 2 exons.